RNAcentral lists this ribosomal RNA (397 nucleotides) under uncultured bacterium. Its description in RNAcentral is "partial 16S ribosomal RNA". It matches the Rfam family "Bacterial small subunit ribosomal RNA", at positions 523 to 918 of the family's 1533-position model. The record is from RNAcentral.
AUACGUAGGGGGCGAGCGUUGUCCGGAAUGAUUGGGCGUAAAGGGCGCGUAGGCGGCCCGGUAAGUCUGGAGUGAAAGUCCUGCUUUUAAGGUAGGAAUUGCUUUGGAUACUGUCGGGCUUGAGUGCAGGAGAGGUAAGUGGAAUUCCCAGUGUAGCGGUGAAAUGCGUAGAGAUUGGGAGGAACACCAGUGGCGAAGGCGACUUACUGGACUGUAACUGACGCUGAGGCGCGAAAGUGUGGGGAGCAAACAGGAUUAGAUACCCUGGUAGUCCACACUGUAAACGAUGAAUGCUAGGUGUAGGGGGUAUCGACCCCUUCUGUGCCGCAGUUAACACAAUAAGCAUUCCGCCUGGGGAGUACGGCCGCAAGGUUGAAACUCAAAUGAAUUGACGGGG